Papio anubis (olive baboon) is the source of this 119-nucleotide ribosomal RNA. The record is from Ensembl. NCBI's taxonomy places the organism in Eukaryota, Metazoa, Chordata, Mammalia, Primates, Cercopithecidae.
GUCUAUGGUCACACCACCCUGAAUGCGCCCAAUCUCGUCUGAUCUCAGAAGCUAAGCAGGGUCAUGCCUGGUUAGUACUUGGAUGGGAGACCACCUAGGAAUACAAGGUGCUGUAGACC